RNAcentral lists this unclassified non-coding RNA (556 nucleotides) under Archiminolia sp. 3 LS-2016. Its description in RNAcentral is "contains 16S-23S intergenic spacer region". It matches the Rfam family "Bacterial large subunit ribosomal RNA", at positions 1816 to 2597 of the family's 2925-position model. The record is from RNAcentral. Lineage: Eukaryota; Metazoa; Mollusca; Gastropoda; Trochida; Solariellidae.
CGCUCUUUGAAAAUAUUAAAUUGAUAUAAAGAGUCGGACCUGCCCAGUGACGUAGUGUUAAACGGCCGCGGUACUCUGACCGUGCAAAGGUAGCAUAAUCACUUGCCUUUUAAUUGGAGGCUUGUAUGAAUGGUUUGACGAGAGCUAAGCUGUCUCCUUUUUAAAUAUUUAGAAAUUAAUUUAUAGGUGAAGAGGCCUAUAUAUAUUUGAGGGACAAGAAGACCCUGUUGAGUUUAAGUGAAAUUAAAAAUGAAUUGUUAUUUGUAAUUAUUGAAAUUUUAAGUAAUAAGAAUUACUACAAUGUAGAAGUUAUGUUUUUUAUAAUCUUUAGUUGGGGCGACUGAGGAGCAUGUAAAGCUUCCUUUAAAAAAUUAUGGCAGGCGAGUUAGGUUGAUCCAAUUUUGUUGAUUAAAGGAAAAAAUUACCACAGGGAUAACAGCGUAAUCUUUUUGGAGAGUUCUUAUCGAAGAAAGGGUUUGCGACCUCGAUGUUGGACUAAGAUAUCCCGAGGGUGUAGAAGUUCUUGAAGGUUGGUCUGUUCGACCAUUAAAAUCUU